UUACACACACAUGUACAGAGGGUCAGGGCCACUGUCUUUAUGGGACAUCAACCCAGGCACUGGACUCCUGGGUGAUCAGGCUCCUUUGGCUGAAGCAAGAAAUAAGCUUUCCUGUCCAAUAUAGUACAUGGCAUAGUACAAGACCCAAGAACUCAGAAGAACAUCAGAACUCCAAAUUUCAGAAGAGUUAAGACUACUGAAGGACUGCUCUGUACAGCAAUAAACAAUACUUCAAAGUUCUCAA
Non-coding RNA from Electrophorus electricus (electric eel), 244 nucleotides. Lineage: Eukaryota; Metazoa; Chordata; Actinopteri; Gymnotiformes; Gymnotidae. The record is from RefSeq and is a predicted model, not a curated record.